Molecule: non-coding RNA, 369 nt
Organism: Oryctolagus cuniculus (rabbit)
Lineage: Eukaryota; Metazoa; Chordata; Mammalia; Lagomorpha; Leporidae
Source: RefSeq, a predicted model, not a curated record
AUUUACUUGAAGACAGAGUGACAGAGAGAAGGAGAGACAGAGGGAGACACAGAUCUUCUGUCUGCUGGUUCACUUCCCCAGUGGCUGCAAUGGCUGGGGGUGGACAAGGCUGAAGCCAGGAGCCAGGAACUCCAUCUGGGUUUCCAAGGUACAAUUUCUAUACCAGAUGCUCAAGACUUGUGUGAGUUUUGGCAAACAUGCACUCGUGAGCCAUCACCCUGAUCAAGCUAUACAGCAAUUCACUCCCAGAAUUCCUCCAUGCUCCAGUCAACAGGACCCCCACUCUCUGACCACCUAUAACCACCUAUUCUAGAUUGGCUUUGUCUUUGAUCUUUAAAUAAACAGAAUCAUCAGUGCUGUCUUCUUUUA